RNAcentral lists this ribosomal RNA (976 nucleotides) under uncultured Methanomicrobiales archaeon. Its description in RNAcentral is "bacterial SSU rRNA". It matches the Rfam family "Archaeal small subunit ribosomal RNA", at positions 44 to 1030 of the family's 1478-position model. The record is from RNAcentral. Lineage: Archaea; Methanobacteriati; Methanobacteriota; Methanomicrobia; Methanomicrobiales.
UUUAGCCAUUGCGAGUCGAGAGGUGAAAGACCUCGGCGUACUGCUCAGUAACACGUGGACAACCUACCCUAAGGAGGGGGAUAACCCCGGGAAACUGGGGAUAAUACCCCAUAGACUAGAGAAGCUGGAAUGCUCUCAAGUCCAAAGGUCCGCCGCCUUAGGAUGGGUCUGCGGUCGAUUAGGUUGUUGUUGGGGUAACGGCCCAACAAGCCCGUGAUCGAUACGGGUUGUGAGAGCAAGAGCCCGGAGAUGGAUUCUGAGACAUGAAUCCAGGCCCUACGGGGCGCAGCAGGCGCGAAAACUUUACAAUGCGGGAAACCGUGAUAAGGGAACCCCGAGUGCCCGUAAAUUCGGGCUGUCCAUCAGCGUAAAUAACUGGUGAAGAAAGGGCCGGGCAAGACCGGUGCCAGCCGCCGCGGUAAUACCGGCGGCUCGAGUGGUGGCCACUAUUAUUGGGCUUAAAGCGUCCGUAGCUUGGUUGUUAAGUCUCUUGGGAAAUCUACCGGCUCAACCGGUAGGCGUUCAGGAGAUACUGGCAAUCUAGGGACCGGGAGAGGUGAGAGGUACUCCAGGGGUAGGAGUGAAAUCCUGUAAUCCUUGGGGGACCACCUGUGGCGAAGGCGUCUCACUAGAACGGCUCCGACAGUGAGGGACGAAAGCUGGGGGAGCAAACCGGAUUAGAUACCCGGGUAGUCCCAGCUGUAAACGAUGCGCGUUAGGUGUAUCGGUGACCACGAGUCACCGAGGUGCCGAAGGGAAACCGUGAAACGUGCCGCCUGGGAAGUACGGUCGCAAGGCUGAAACUUAAAGGAAUUGGCGGGGGAGCACCACAACAGGUGGAGCCUGCGGUUUAAUCGGACUCAACGCCGGAAAGCUCACCGGAUAAGACAGCGGAAUGAUAGCCGGGCUGAAGACUCUGCUUGACUAGCUGAGAGGAGGUGCAUGGCCGUCGUCAGUCGUACCGAAGGUUCUNGUC